Molecule: long non-coding RNA, 457 nt
Filed under: Elaeis guineensis (African oil palm)
Lineage: Eukaryota; Viridiplantae; Streptophyta; Magnoliopsida; Arecales; Arecaceae
Description: long non-coding RNA (EGUI_LNC020193)
Source: RNAcentral
GCCUUUCAUGGCUUCUUUUACCUUCCUCAACCACUUCUGAGGAUGAAGUGAAGUCUACUGAUUUACUUUGGUGGUCAUUCCUUCUUCCUAGAGAUUUACAUAUGGCCUCGAUUAUCAAACUAAUCAGGAACAAUAGAUAUUCAGUUGAGCAAUAUUCUCCUAGCUUAGUAGCCCAUCAAUUUGGUCUAGCUCAAACUAUUCGAUGCCUCUUUUUAUUUUCUUUGAACCACAACUUUUUUUUACCGAAUCUCUAUUACCGAUCCUACCACCAUAAAAUUGGCUGAUUACAUUUAUAACCAAUCUUAUGCUGUCUUCAAAUUUCAUCCUUUUGAUCCCAAACUGACUACCACUAAAGACUUUCUGACAUGGUGGGCAACUCAUCUAGAGACCAUCUGAUGGGAGCCAGUUUUAGAUGUCUUGACUCAGAUUACUCAUGGUGGAGCUUUCCUACCACCUG